UACGUAGGGGGCAAGCGUUAUCCGGAUUUACUGGGUGUAAAGGGAGCGUAGACGGCAGUGCAAGUCUGGAGUGAAAGGCGGGGGCUCAACCCCCGGACUGCUCUGGGAACUGUACGGCUGGAGUGCAGGAGAGGUAAGUGGAAUUCCUAGUGUAGCGGUGAAAUGCGUAGGUAUUAGGAGGAACACCAGUGGCGAAGGCGGCUUACUGGACUGUAACUGACGUUGAGGCUCGAAAGCGUGGGGAGCAAACAGG
RNAcentral lists this ribosomal RNA (253 nucleotides) under uncultured bacterium. RNAcentral's name for it is "partial 16S ribosomal RNA". It matches the Rfam family "Bacterial small subunit ribosomal RNA", at positions 524 to 776 of the family's 1533-position model. The record is from RNAcentral.